AGCAAAUCUGACGGAGUGAAAUUGUUUAUCAUGUCAAGAUCUAUCUGCCCUGAAAUUUUCAGAUGGAUCCGACAACCGGUUGUUGGGUUGCUGCCCCAUAAUUGGUAAUUUUAAGAAAAUUUUGACGUUUUUGUUAUUAUCUUGAAUAUUAUUAUAGAUAGAGAUAAACUGUAAACAGCAAUAAUGUACAGCAAAGUAAGACCUAAAGAUAAGUCAAACAUGACAAAAAUGGUCAGUUGACCCCCUAAGGAGUUAUUGUCCUUUAUAGUCAAUUUUUAACAAUUUUCAUAAAAUUUGUAAAUUUUUACUAACAUUUUCCACUGAAACUACUGGGCCAAGAUCAUUAUAGAUAGAGAUAAUUGUAAGGAGCAAGAAUGUUCAGUAAAGUAAGAUGUACAAACACAUCACCAUCACCUAAACACAAUUUUGUCAUGAAUCCAUCUGCUUCCUUUGUUUAAUAUUCACAUAUACCAAGGUGAGCGACACAGGCUCUUUAGAGCCUCUUUUUUUUUUUACUUUGGUUCUCACAGAUUUCCUUUUUUGAAGAUAAAUAUUAUACACAUUUACACAGAAAUUGUGGUUUAGUUUGUUUCAAAUAAGACGUUCUGAAAACAUUGACUGUGACUACACCGAAAGAUUUGCACAUCGGAAUCGCUACGUACCUCCAACAGAUUUCCUCUGACAUCGUCCUACUCAGGCAUAGUUUACCAUCUUUCAUGUAUUCUCUGUAUGAUUGCCAGCGAGACGAUUGUCACAUGACCAAAUAUUUUAUAUAUAUGUUCAUGUAUGAUUGCCAGUGAGACAACUACUAACCAGAGUCCAAAUGAUGUGAAUGUAACCAACUUGGUCUUGAGGUCUUCAUGACCUUCAACAAUGAGCAAACCAAUAUAGUUGUUUAUGUCCUCAUCCUUUAGUCUCUGCUAGACAGUUGUCACAUUCACAUUGGCAACCAUAUCACUUCUUAUUUAGUCUUAUUUAAAUUUAGAAUAUGAAAUGAAAAGUUGAUAACUACCGGUAAAUAAGGUGAUAGAAAAAAACAUUGCUUAGGUUCAAAAAUUCUUUUGACAAAUCCUGGUAUAAAGCACUUUGAAUUACUCAUUGCAAUUUGCACAUGUGUCAUAUUGUUUUUGUUUCCAUCAAUGUUUGUUUGUGUAUUAAACUGUCUUGACUGUAUCACCUGACUAUUUGGUUGUUGAGUUGUUAUAUUGUUUAUAGGUUCAAUGUAAGUAAAAGUCUGGCAGUACUACAUUUGUAGUUCCAAACGCUUUGAAAAUUCAACUGGACAUUUGGUACAAUUAACCGCUCUUAACUGGACCAGAAUCUAACUAACAGGACAUUUAUACUUGCCUUUGCCCAGUGUCAGACACCCUUGUGAAUGGUCCCAUAUACAUUUGGGGUACUCCUAUUGGCUUGAAUUGUGAGAGACCUUUUGAAUCGUGUUUUCAAAUACAAUAUGUAAUUGAUGAAGUUUGCAAUAGCCCUGCUGUCCGUCUGCCUAAUAGCACAGCGCUGAAGUAUGAAAGCACUGAAUACCAAUAGCCUCAGGGGAAACACAAAUAAACUAUUUUUGGUGUACAGAAUAAUUGUUUAGUGUACCUGUACUUGUUAUGUAUUCUUAGUUUGGUUCUUUUGGAAGAUAUAUUUGUAUCUGUAGUACUAUAGUAAAAGGUUAACUAUAUUUGGUGCAUGAAAUGAUUGUAAGGUGCAAUGUCUGUCUGGCAAAAUUCAUCUGACCUUGACCUUAAAUCUAAGUUCAUUGGUUUAUUUUCCUGUUCAGUCAGUCAUAAAGAAACCACUAGGCUUAGCAAUAGACCAACUGUAUAUAAGCUAUACUCAUGUAAAUUCAUGCGGUUGAUUCUAUAUGCGUUUCUUAAUUCGUAAAUGUUGGAAGCAGUGAAUAAAGAAAGAGCAACCAUAAUAAAUUUGUGAUGACUUGGAGUCUUGAUAUUUAUUAUAACGGCUAUGGUCAGCUUGAACAUGUCAUUAUACCAAAAAUAAGCGUGUAUUGAUUGGUGAUCAUUCAUCUCGUUUUAAAGAAUAUACAUGCACUUGUAAACAUUUGUAAUACAUUUAUAAAUGUCUGGAAUAUAUGACCGUUUGGAAGCCAUGAUUUGUAUCAAGACAUUUCUUUGAAGUUUGAAAACGCUGCGAACUCUUCAAGAUAGGAUUUGAGCUUGACGGUUUUGAAAUUUCUUGAUUUUUUCACUAUCAGUAAGCUGUAAGGCAGUAUUGGAUGCAUUCCGUGAAAUUGCUGUAACACUUCAACUUAUUUGUUGAGAAUACUAAUAAACAUGGAAAAAUUAACAUAUGAAUACAUGCUAAAACAAAUUUUCAUAAUAUAUUAUAGUAUGAUUGCCAAUGAGACAUCUAUCCACUAGAGACCAGAGGAUAACAAAGUAAACAACGAAGCAAUUAUUAUUUAUGGAUGUACUUGGUGAGGUUUUGGAAAUUGUGUCAAAUAUGUUCGGACUCCUUGGUGUUUUUCCAUACAAUACAAUGUAAAAUAUUUUGCCCCAUACCACCCAUUUAUUUUUUCAUACA
This 2541-nucleotide long non-coding RNA is filed under the name Mytilus galloprovincialis (Mediterranean mussel). Lineage: Eukaryota; Metazoa; Mollusca; Bivalvia; Mytilida; Mytilidae. The record is from RNAcentral.